Molecule: ribosomal RNA, 254 nt
Filed under: uncultured bacterium
Lineage: Bacteria
Description: partial 16S ribosomal RNA
Rfam family: Bacterial small subunit ribosomal RNA
Source: RNAcentral
UACGUAGGGUGCAAGCGUUGUCCGGAAUUAUUGGGCGUAAAGAGCUCGUAGGCGGUUUGUCGCGUCGGCCGUGAAAACCUGCAGCUUAACUGUGGGCGUGCGGUCGAUACGGGCAUCACUGGAGUUCGGCAGGGGAGACUGGAAUUCCUGGUGUAGCGGUGAAAUGCGCAGAUAUCAGGAGGUACACCGGUGGCGAAGGCGGGUCUCUGGGCCGAUACUGACGCUGAGGAGCGAAAGCGUGGGGAGCGAACAGG